Molecule: ribosomal RNA, 447 nt
Filed under: Hyperolius ocellatus (golden-eyed reed frog)
Lineage: Eukaryota; Metazoa; Chordata; Amphibia; Anura; Hyperoliidae
Description: partial 16S ribosomal RNA
Rfam family: Bacterial large subunit ribosomal RNA
Source: RNAcentral
GAUUUAGUUUAACGGCCGCGGUAUCUUGACCGUGCAAAGGUAGCACAAUUAAUUGUCCUCUAAAUAAGGACUAGUAUGAACGGCAUCACGAGGGUUUAACUGUCUCCCUACUUUAAUCAAUAAAAUUGAUCUUCCCGUGAAGAAGCGGGAAUAUAAAUAUAAGACGAAAAGACCCCAUGGAGCUUUAAACUUAUCAUCACUUAUCAAAAACUUUAACAUACAUUGAUAAAUAUGAGAGAUAGUUUUCGGUUGGGGCGACCCUGGAGAAAAACUAAUCCUCCAAGCUGUAAAGUAUAAAUAUGCUAGAGCAACCACUCAAACAAUCAAAACCUUGACAAAAUGACCCAGAAUAUAUCUGAUCAACGAACCAAGUUACCCUGGGGAUAACAGCGCAAUCCAUUUCAAGAGCCCCUAUCGACAAAUGGGUUUACGACCUCGAUGUUGGAU